UAAAACCCAAAUUUUUAAUUUAAUUUUUAAAAUAGAGAAACAAAGUGUUUAUAAAGACCGGGAAUAAAAAAUAAUUUACCCGAAAACUACUGCUCUUUCGUAUUCUAUUGGUUAUUUGUCUAUUCCCACUGUAUGGCUUCACAAGCAUAUGCACCAAUAUAGAUCCAAUUCAGAAAGCAACAAUUCUCCACUUCACACUGUAUGGCACCACAAGCAUAUGCAACAACACAGAUCCAAUUCAUGGGCAAACGAAUAUGUGCAGAAGCUCUGUUUGCCUCAGCCAUGUUAUAAUGAACCCAUUCCUUUUGUCUCACAGCAUUUCAACUCCCUUGGCCGUAUCAAUUAAUUCAGCACUUAACUUGAAAGCCAUAUCUGG
RNAcentral lists this unclassified non-coding RNA (376 nucleotides) under Hevea brasiliensis (rubber tree). The record is from RNAcentral. Lineage: Eukaryota; Viridiplantae; Streptophyta; Magnoliopsida; Malpighiales; Euphorbiaceae.